GGGGCUGAUUCUGGAUUCGACGGGAUUUGCGAAACCCAAGGUGCAUGCCGAGGGGCGGUUGGCCUCGUAAAAAGCCGCAAAAAAAUAGUCGCAAACGACGAAACCUACGCUUUAGCAGCUUAAUAACCUGUUUAGAGCCCUCUCUCCCUAGCCUCCGCUCUUAGGACGGGGAUCAAGAGAGGUCAAACCCAAAAGAGAUCGCGCGGAUGCCCUGCCUGGGGUUGAAGCGUUAAAACGAAUCAGGCUAGUCUGGUAGUGGCGUGUCCGUCCGCAGGUGCCAGGCGAAUGUAAAGACUGACUAAGCAUGUAGUACCGAGGAUGUAGGAAUUUCGGACGCGGGUUCAACUCCCGCCAGCUCCACCA
RNAcentral lists this transfer-messenger RNA (363 nucleotides) under Salmonella enterica subsp. enterica serovar Newport. It matches the Rfam family "transfer-messenger RNA". Rfam says of the family: Bacterial tmRNA, also known as 10Sa RNA or SsrA, is named for its dual tRNA and mRNA-like properties. Its role is to liberate the mRNA from a stalled ribosome. The record is from RNAcentral. Lineage: Bacteria; Pseudomonadati; Pseudomonadota; Gammaproteobacteria; Enterobacterales; Enterobacteriaceae.